Vicia faba (fava bean) is the source of this 306-nucleotide non-coding RNA. Lineage: Eukaryota; Viridiplantae; Streptophyta; Magnoliopsida; Fabales; Fabaceae. The record is from the annotation of a GenBank genome assembly.
GAAGACAUGAACACGAUGAGAAUGUUACACUGCAUUUUGCUCAAAUGUUUUUACAUCUCAAUUCAUUUUUCAGUAUCAUUCAUUAAAAAAUGUACAUGUAGAAAGAAAAAAGCAUGGUCGUAUAUUAGAGUUAUCAUCAAAUACACUCAUCAAAAGAGGAUGAUGAUAUUUUGUACUAUACAACAAUAUACAUCAAACAGUACUCAAAGUCUUAUUCCAUUAAGUAGGAAGACAAAUUUCCGAUUUUGGUGGUUGGGCCGAGAAAAAAGCAAUGAUGUUCCGAGAAAUUAUGUAUCUUUGGGUUAA